CGUGAGGAACUUGCCCAUGAGCGGGGGACAACAUUCGGAAACGGAUGCUAAUACCCCAUAGGUGGAUUGGUCGCAUGACGAAUUCAUUAAAGGUGGCUUUGCUACCACUCAUGGAUAGCCUCGCGGCGUAUUAGCUAGUUGGUAAGGUAAUGGCUUACCAAGGCAGUGAUACGUAGCCGACUUGAGAGGGUGAUCGGCCACACUGGGACUGAGACACGGCCCAG
This 224-nucleotide ribosomal RNA is filed under the name uncultured Carnobacteriaceae bacterium. RNAcentral's name for it is "partial 16S ribosomal RNA". It matches the Rfam family "Bacterial small subunit ribosomal RNA", at positions 116 to 334 of the family's 1533-position model. The record is from RNAcentral. Lineage: Bacteria; Bacillati; Bacillota; Bacilli; Lactobacillales; Carnobacteriaceae.